GUGGGGGUCCUCCUCGGGCCUAGACCCGAAAAACUCUGGGGGACGGUAUGUCAGAAAAUCACGAACCCUCAGGCUAUCACGCCUGUCAUCAUCAUCAUCAUCUCUCAGCCCGCGCCUGCGAACCUGUCCCGCUACCAAGGUAGUCAAUAGCUGUACGGCCUCCCUCAACGUCCCAUCCUCCGCCCCUGGCUGAGGAGCUGGAGGCGCGGCCGCUGGAGCCUCUGGAGCUAAUGCGGCUGGUGAUCCAGACUCCUCUGAUGAUGAAGACGUAGCAGAGUCUGUUGGCCGGGACGCAAUAUCACGCAUCAUCUGAGCAAGGGUCCGAGUACCCUUCUGAGCCCGGCUAGUCUCUCCGGCCGCUACUGACUUGCCCUUCUGGGCAGCUGCCGCCUUUUUUGGAGGCAUCAC
Molecule: long non-coding RNA, 408 nt
Organism: Lycium ferocissimum
Lineage: Eukaryota; Viridiplantae; Streptophyta; Magnoliopsida; Solanales; Solanaceae
Exons: 2
Source: RefSeq, a predicted model, not a curated record